This 330-nucleotide unclassified non-coding RNA is filed under the name uncultured fungus. RNAcentral describes it as "partial contains small subunit ribosomal RNA, internal transcribed spacer 1, and 5.8S ribosomal RNA". The stretch from base 1 to 73 matches the Rfam family "Eukaryotic small subunit ribosomal RNA", at positions 1759 to 1831 of the family's 1831-position model. The record is from RNAcentral. Lineage: Eukaryota; Fungi.
GCAAACUUGGUCAUUUAGAGGAAGUAAAAGUCGUAACAAGGUUUCCGUAGGUGAACCUGCGGAAGGAUCAUUAACAAAUUGUCCACAAUAAUGGAUAAUUUUAUCCAUAUCCACCUUGUGUGAACCAUUGAAGUGUUUGUUUGGCAGGCUUUAACACUCUCUGUUGAGAGCUGUGUGGGCAAGGUGCUGCCGUGCAGUUGCCGCUGCCCGGCCUGCCAAUUUUCUUAUUUUAAACAUGUCUAAAUAUCGUGACUGAAAUACUACCAAUUAAUAAUAAAUACAACUUUCAACAACGGAUCUCUUGGCUCUCGCAUCGAUGAAGAACGCAGC